RNAcentral lists this ribosomal RNA (258 nucleotides) under uncultured bacterium. RNAcentral describes it as "partial 16S ribosomal RNA". It matches the Rfam family "Bacterial small subunit ribosomal RNA", at positions 524 to 773 of the family's 1533-position model. The record is from RNAcentral.
UACGUAGGGACCAAGCGUUGUUUCGGAUUUACUGGGCGUAAAGGGCGCGUAGGCGGCUUAACAAGUCACUUGUGAAAUCUCCGGGCUUAAACUCGGAACGGCCAAGUGAAAACUGUCAAGCUAGAGUGCAGAAAGGGGGCAAUCGGAAUUCUUGGUGUAGCGGUGAAAUGCGUAGAUAUCAAAGAGGGAACACCUGAGGUGAAGACGGGGUUGCUGGGGCUGACACUGACGUGAGGCGCGAAAAGCCCAGGGGGGAGC